This 1486-nucleotide ribosomal RNA is filed under the name metagenome. RNAcentral's name for it is "bacterial SSU rRNA". It matches the Rfam family "Bacterial small subunit ribosomal RNA". The record is from RNAcentral.
AGAGUUUGAUCCUGGCUCAGAACGAACGCUGGCGGCGUGGCUAAGACAUGCAAGUCGAACGAGUUUCAGCGGGCUUGCCUGCUGAGAUUAGUGGCGGACGGGAGCGUAAUGCAUGGGCAACGUACCCCGGGCACAGGAAUAGCCCCUCGAAAGGGGGAGUAAUACCUGAUGACCCCGUUGGGCCGCAUGACCCGACGGGCAAAGCUCCGGCGGCCCGGGAUCGGCCCAUGUCGUAUCAGCUUGUUGGUGAGGUAACGGCUCACCAAGGCGAUGACGCGUAGCGGGACUGAGAGGUCGACCCGCCUCAUCGGGACUGAGACACUGCCCGGACACCUACGGGUGGCUGCAGUAACGAAUAUUGGGCAAUGGGCGCAAGCCUGACCCAGCGACGCCGCGUGCAGGAUGAAGUCCUUCGGGAUGUAAACUGCUGUCAGGGGUACGGAAGAUCUGACCUAUCCCAAAGGAAGCCUCGGCUAACUCCGUGCCAGCAGCCGCGGUAAUACGGAGGAGGCAAGCGUUGUUCGGAAUCACUGGGCUUAAAGCGCGUGUAGGCGGCUCGGCAAGUGCCCUGUGAAAUCCCCCGGCUCAACCGGGGAACUGCUGGGCAAACUGCCGGGCUUGAGGCAGGUAGGGGCGACUGGAACUCUAGGUGGAGCGGUGAAAUGCGUAGAUAUCUAGAGGAACGCCUGUGGCGAAAGCGGGUCGCUGGGCCUGUUCUGACGCUGAGACGCGAAAGCGUAGGGAGCGAACGGGAUUAGAUACCCCGGUAGUCUACGCCGUAAACGAUGCGCACUAGGUCUGAGGCUCUCUGACGAGUCUUGUGCCGAAGCAAAAGUGUUAAGUGCGCCGCCUGGGGAGUACGGCCGCAAGGCUAAAACUCAAAGGAAUUGACGGGGGCUCACACAAGCGGUGGAGCAUGUGGCUUAAUUCGAAUCAACGCGCAGAACCUUACCUGGGUUUGACAUGUACGGAUUAACCCCGGGAAACCGGGGCCACGCCCUUCGGGGUGGAACGUGCGCAGGUGCUGCGUGGCUGUCGUCAGCUCGUGCUGUGAAGUGUCGGGUUAAGUCCCUUAACGAGCGAAACCCCUGUCGCUAGUUGCCAGCGCGUCAUGGCGGGGACUCUAGCGAGACUGCCGGUGUUAAACCGGAGGAAGGUGGGGAUGACGUCAAGUCCUCAUGGCCCUUAUGCCCAGGGUUGCACACGUGCUACAAUGGGGCGCACAGAGCGAAGCAAAACCGCGAGGUCGAGCAAAUCGCACAAAACGCCUCUCAGUUCGGAUUGCAGGCUGCAACCCGCCUGCAUGAAGUUGGAAUCGCUAGUAAUCGCGUAUCAGCUACGACGCGGUGAAUGCGUUCCUGAGCCUUGUACACACCGCCCGUCAAGUCAUGGAAGCUGGGAGCACCCGAAGUCCGCUUAGCUAACCCGCAAGGGAGGCGGCGGCCGACGGUGAGCUCGGUGACUGGGACUAAGUCGUAACAAGGUA